Molecule: ribosomal RNA, 493 nt
Filed under: uncultured bacterium
Lineage: Bacteria
Description: partial 16S ribosomal RNA
Rfam family: Bacterial small subunit ribosomal RNA
Source: RNAcentral
AUUGAACGCUGGCGGCAUGCUUUACACAUGCAAGUCGAACGGUAACAGGUUAAGCUGACGAGUGGCGAACGGGUGAGUAAUGCAUCGGAACGUGCCCGGUCGUGGGGGAUAACGCAGCGAAAGCUGCGCUGAUACCGCAUACGAUCUGAGGAUGAAAGCGGGGGACCGUAAGGCCUCGCGCGAUCGGAGCGGCCGAUGUCAGAUUAGGUAGUUGGGGGGGUAAAGGCUCACCAAGCCAACGAGCUGUAGCUGGUCUGAGAGGACGACCAGCCACACUAGGACUGAGACACGGCCCAGACUCCUACGGGAGGCAGCAGUGGGGAAUUUUGGACAAUGGGCGAAAGCCUGAUCCAGCAAUGCCGCGUGCAGGAAGAAGGCCUUCGGGUUGUAAACUGCUUUUGUACGGAGCGAAAAGGUCUCCUCUAAUACAGGGGGCUCAUGACGGUACCGUAAGAAUAAGCACCGGCUAACUACGUGCCAGCCGCCGCGGUAA